This 502-nucleotide ribosomal RNA is filed under the name uncultured bacterium. Its description in RNAcentral is "bacterial SSU rRNA". It matches the Rfam family "Bacterial small subunit ribosomal RNA", at positions 899 to 1397 of the family's 1533-position model. The record is from RNAcentral.
ACUCAAAGGAAUUGACGGGGACCCGCACAAGCAGCGGAGCAUGUGGUUUAAUUCGAAGAUACGCGAAAAACCUUACCAAGACUUGACAUCCUUUGCAUAGCCCCGAAAUGGGUGAAUUUGUUAGCAAUAACAACAAAGUGACAGAUGGUGCAUGGUUGUCGUCAGCUCGUGUCGUGAGAUGUUCGGUUAAGUCCGAUAACGAGCGCAACCCUUGUCUUUAGUUGCCAGCAUUAAGUUGGGCACUCUAGAGAGACUGCCGUGGAUAACACGGAGGAAGGUGGGGAUGACGUCAAAUCAUCAUGCCUCUUACGUCUUGGGCUACACACGUGCUACAAUGGUGACUACAAAGAGUUCCGAACUGGUAACAGGGGGGCAAUCUCAAAAAAGUCAUCUCAAUUCGGAUUGUGGGCUGCAACUCGCCCACAUGAAGUCGGAGUUGCUAGUAAUGGCGAAUCAGCAUGUCGCCGUGAAUGCGUUCCCGGGUCUUGUACACACCGCCCGU